AAUAUUAGUCAAUGCUCGCAAGAGUGAACUAGCUAACUGAAAUCACAGGAUCCAUUAUGUGUGGUGAAUGUAAUAACGUAAGGGAAAAAAAUGAUAUUACCUUACUAUUAGUGUUGUCCAAAACUGGUGCCAGAAGACUCGGUAAGGCCAGAGACGCAAACGUUAGUCGCCCUAAUCAGGCGUAAAGGGUAUGUAGGCUGCUUUAAAAGUUUUAUAUUUAAUAGCUAAUAUAAAAAAGUAACAACUUUUUAAAAAAUAUAAAAUGAAUUAAAGCUAGGAUCAAAUUGAGGAUAAUAAAUAACACCUAGUGUAGGGUUUAAAUCUGAUGAUAUUAGGUGGAGUACUAACGGUGAAAGCUUUUUAUCUAGAAAUGAUUGACGCUGAGAAACGAAGGUGAGAAUAGGAAAUAGGAUUAGAUACCCAGAUACCUCUCACAGUCAACGAUGAAUGGUGGUUGUUACUUAGUUUUAUUUAAGUGAUAACGAUGUUAACACGAUAACCAUUCCGCCUUGCGAGUACGGUUGCAAAACUGAAACCAAAAAAAUUAGUCGGUCUCGAAGCAAACGAAGUGAAGCAUGUUAUUUAAUU
This 588-nucleotide ribosomal RNA is filed under the name Entoloma pefiense. RNAcentral describes it as "partial small subunit ribosomal RNA". It matches the Rfam family "Bacterial small subunit ribosomal RNA", at positions 360 to 951 of the family's 1533-position model. Lineage: Eukaryota; Fungi; Basidiomycota; Agaricomycetes; Agaricales; Entolomataceae. The record is from RNAcentral.